Molecule: ribosomal RNA, 500 nt
Filed under: uncultured bacterium
Lineage: Bacteria
Description: bacterial SSU rRNA
Rfam family: Bacterial small subunit ribosomal RNA
Source: RNAcentral
AACUCAAAGGAAUUGACGGGGGCCCGCACAAGCGGUGGAGCAUGUGGUUCAAUUCGACGCAACGCGAAGAACCUUACCUGGGCUCGAAGCGCAGUGGAAUGGGGUGGAAACAUCCCCGUCCGCAAGGACCGCUGCGGAGGUGCUGCAUGGCUGUCGUCAGCUCGUGUCGUGAGAUGUUGGGUUAAGUCCCGCAACGAGCGCAACCCUUAUCGUUAGUUGCCAUCGGGUCAAGCCGGGCACUCUAGCGAAACCGCCUCGGAUAACGGGGAGGAAGGUGGGGAUGACGUCAAGUCCUCAUGGCCUUUAUGUCCAGGGCUACACACGUGCUACAAUGCGCGGUACAAAGCGUCGCAAACCCGCGAGGGGGAGCUAAUCGCAAAAAGCCGUGCUCAGUUCGGAUUGGAGUCUGCAACCCGACUCCAUGAAGCUGGAAUCGCUAGUAAUCGCAGAUCAGAACGCUGCGGUGAAUACGUUCCCGGGCCUUGUACUCACCGCCCGUC